Long non-coding RNA from Bacillus rossius redtenbacheri, 3001 nucleotides. RefSeq lists it as uncharacterized. The transcript has 3 exons. Lineage: Eukaryota; Metazoa; Arthropoda; Insecta; Phasmatodea; Bacillidae. The record is from RefSeq and is a predicted model, not a curated record.
CGCACGAGCAAACAAAACAACUCUCCACCCGAACCACGACGAUGAGAUCGGUCGCCGCCGUGUCGCUGCUGGUGCUGGUGUUGGCAGGCCUGAGCGCCUGCAGGGCUCCCGUGGGCGGAUCCAGCCCCGUCACGUACCUGCUGAGGUUCGAGGUCGAGGAGGGCGUGCCGACCCGAGGGGGCGGCCUGAUCACGGCCGCCAACAGGUCCCUGGAGGCGGCGGGGGCGGCGCGCGCAGCCCGCCCCCAGGAGGAGUCCUAGCGACCUGCAGCAGGGCAAGGGAGGGCCGCCGGUCGCAAGCAGUCGUCUUCCCUCCGUGACACGAGGACUCGAGGAUGUACCUAUCUACAAGUGACGCACGUCAUGUAAAAAAAAAAAAACAGAAAAUAAGCGAUUAACGACAAUACAGGCCCGUCUGCAACUGCAAUGUCCUAAGCUAAGUCCGACGGACAGCGAUCAGUGUCCGACCAGAGACCCGGAAAAAUUCGCGGGUUCAAUGACCUCCAGUAUAGACUCCCAUAUCCUCUACACACUCGGGCAAAUGCCAACUGUUCAUUGGCUGCUGACUUGUGAGUCGUCUCGACUGGGUGGCCUGUGAUUCGGCACUUCUAUGAGUGAGGGUCUCUAAUUGGCCCUCAGUCCUCCAGAUUAACAGUGGACCAAUGGCAGAAGCAGCACUAAGGUAUACUUAUAUGAAUAUUUAGCAUUACACGAAAUGAACCCGUGGAUUUUUCAGGUCUCUACUGAUCGCAGAUUGGUCCACGCGACCCUCUGACGUCAUGCGUGGCUCUGUGCGAUGGUCCGAAUACAAUAGUAAACUUUAUGCCCCAAUGUGCGUGUCCUUCCGUAGCGUAGAACAACGACAGAACACUAGACAUGUUUCGAGUUUCCGGUUCCCGUUCGAAAAAAAAAAACACGUGCAUGAAAACGAUAAACAGAAUAAACAAUCGGAAAUUUUUUUUUUACUGCGCUGUAGUGACUACUUUUUGGAUUCAGGGCAUCGGACAUCACAAUUGUAGACUUGGAAGUUUUCCGUCUGACAUUAGGAUAAGGAUACGGAUCACCCACAGGUUCUGACUUUAGUAUAAGGGCCUUUUGAAACAGAAAUGAAAGUAUCACCCGAUAUUUCUUUGGUGUUAUGGAAGAGAGGGUUAAGUCAAAAACAUCAAAUUUUAAGAGAGGUGGAAGAAAGUCAAGGAUUAUUUGAAGGAUAUGCCUUCUGACACUUUAUAUGGUUUGUAGCCUUGUGUUGUCUGUAUAAGAUAUCAAUAAUUAAUAAUAUAAAAUUAAUAUUUUAUCGAAACAAAAAAAUUAGACUUUCUUUCACCUCUCUUAAAAUUUGAUGUUUUUGACUUAACACUCUCUUCCAUAACACCACAGAUUUUUUCUUUUCCCAGCAUAGCUUCCAUGCGUGUUUGACGCAUUCGUCCCGACGAUGGAAACCCGUCAUGUCUCGCACGGCCCGUUUGAGGUAGACGUCAGAGUCAAGAUUCAUCCCGCUGAGGAACUUCUGCAUGGGCGUCAGGCCUGAGCUGUAGCGAAGCUGCUCCGAAAAUUCACCAACCCCCGUAUUCACGAAUUGGUGCGGCAAAUGCAGCAUUUUCUGAAAAAACUUCCACCAAUUCCGAAUGGAUCUAUCCAACUUUCUUUCCUUUAGCAAAAAAAAAAAAAAAAAAAAAUCUCAUUCACAGCUUGUCGCUCCUUCACAGUUGACGAUGUAAUCACUAGCGCCAUUUUACGGGUCGUUACCACAACGCCGAAAUACCAUAACGCCGAAUAUCAAAAUUGACCACAACGCCGACAGCUAGAAAACUGCUGUGUUCCACAACGCCGAAAUAACAACUGAAUGAAUUUGUGUGUGUUUCUUAAAUGUACCUUAACGCCGAAAUACCACUAUCAAACCUAACCUUACCUAAUCUGACCUAACCUAGCGUAAUAUAACCUAACCUUACUUAACCUAGCCUAUCCUAGCCUAUCCUAGCCUAUCCUAGCCUAUCCUCGCCUAACCUAACCUAACCUUUGUGGCAGUCCUGCAAUGACAUUUUACGGCGUUAGUGUUUUUGGCUUUGUGGCGCGUCCCCCCAUUUUACCGGUGACUGACGAACGCUAUCGGUACGUGGAAUCACGAUAUAUUGGACUGCGCCCAGACAGAGUAGCACCCUCUAGGUCCCUUUUUUUAAGUAAAUAAUUUCUUUUCUACUCAUUAUUUUCGUCUUUAAAAAUUGACAUGUGCGUUACUUAUUGAUAUACCCUCAUAUUUUCUUUUAGGGGUGGUUUUUACCAACAUAUGGACGUAGAUUCGAUGAACAGUGAUUUCGUUCAAUGUCCAAGUUUAUCUGGAUUCAUCAAACGAACCAUGAUGCUGUCACAGUUUAAUGGCUGUAUUAUUUUGAAACUUUAUAAAACUACAACAGGAGUAAACAUCAAGGAUAUAACGGAAAAUUUUAUGACUUAAUUUUUUUUCCAAUUCAUGCUUAAAUUAGUAAAACAAAAUCACCAAAAUGUAACAUUUUAUGUAUUAUAAUUUUAUUUUCGGAUGAAGUGCUAUUACAAACAUAUUUUAUAUCAGGUAAUACAACCUUUGUCGUUUUAUUUCUUUAUAAACAAAAACAUCAUUUAUCUAAAAUGGAUAUGGUAUGUGCUUUUGUCAAUGUAUAAUACACAAAUCUGCCUUAUAAUGUAUCUUAAUUUUAAAAAUAAAUAAAAUAACAAUAUAAGGAAUCACUUUAUAAGAAACAUAUCAGUUGUAUGGAAUUGUUGGUUAAAGUAUGUUCUUUGUAUGUUAUGUAAAUAGAAGGCAAUGCCAAAAUGUAUGUAAAUAUUUUAAUUCCUGUAACCAAGAAUGCCAUCAUAUACAUGGAAUUAAAAAAAACUUAGUGAGGAAAUUAAUCUGUUAAAUCACACUCACAAAUCAUAUAAAAUUGUGAAAGUAUAAAUAAAGUAAGAAUAAAAUAACAAUUGCGUUGUUUUAUGGAACAGAAAAUACACAUUAUUGUUUAAAA